CUCAUUGAUCCCUCAUUUUAGUAUGCCCUGCCCCCAACAUCCUGUUUAAUCAGGAAAUAUAAUCACAUUCAGGAAGUAAGAUUCUUCCAAAACUGGCACUUCACUGGAAUUCAAAAUGCCAUUAAACAUUUUUAUACCACGUGUAAGUAACAUGAAGUCACUGCAAGUCCACUUGUUUCCUGCAGAGCCGAGCGGUGACGGACGUGAUUAAGUUCAUGAGAGCUCAACAAGCUUCUCCACUGUGGUUUGUAUCCAUCAACAGCCAACCUGAUUUGGGGGCUUCAUUUUCCCCAGAGAUGUGUUUGUAGUUUCACCUGCUGAUGGAUUUGAAAAUGGACAAGAAAUUGAUUCCAGACUUUUAAAGCUUCCAAGUUCUUUACAACUUUCAACAAUCCCAGAGUUCACCUGUGCAAUCACAAGUACGCUCUGAAUUCAUUUAAAGAUAAUGUGUGAGGGUUUGGAUUGAAUUAAUUUUUUAGUGAAUGCUACUGAGUUUGUUGUCUUGCUGUUCAUUAGAAUGACUGUUUGGCUUUUGUUUGUAUGGCUGUUUAUUGGUUAUUUGUUUACUGGGGGAUCUGUUGACAUGGUAAGAACUUGAAGGUAACACGGUUGCCUAAUCUUCUAACUUUGUACCUGUUUUCCAAAACAAACAACAGAAAAAAGACUCCACCGUCUGUCUGUUCUGACUGUCUUUCCUCUGCAGGCUUGGGGAGGGUGAGACAGUUCACCUGGACUCUAUGGGGAGAAAGAUGAACUCUUCUGGUCUACCAUCUGCUCACCAGUCCACCUUUGGAACGCUCCCCUGGUCCCGUCAAGCUCUUGGCCUCAUCCUCCCCGACUGAAGAUCAGCCAGAUAACAUUACCUCCUGACCAAUCAGGCGCCUGGAUCCAUACCUCAUCCCACAGCACCAGAUGGAGGGAGUAUUUCCACAUUGGCAAACACAGAGAGUACCUGCAACUUUCUGCCAAUCUGAACAUCAAAGCAUUGUACUCUCCUGGGGUUGACAGCGUAUUUGGAACAAUUCAAGUUAUCAUGAUGCAAUAAGAACCGCCCAUCCGGUGAUUAAAAACCAACCAAAUUAUUAGUUUCAAGCCCGACUUUGUGUCUUCUUGAACCGUGGCCCUGUGCUGGAUGGUGUGCUGCAAGGAUGAAGUCAUACUUCUCACAGUGUGUGAGAGAGAGUUUCACUUCCUACCUUUGGAAGAGAAAGAGGUUAGCCUGACAGCUUGAUGGAUGGUCUUUUUUUGUACAUGCUGCUUGCGGAAUACGAUGAUUUCAUGUGGUUGUGAGACCGCGGUGUUCUUGUUGCUUUGGAGCGCUGCAGCAAUUAGCACAGUCACCCAUUACAUUCACUGUAUGAUAGGGCUGCAGUGUGUCUAAGUGGGUGUGUACAUUUGAAAUGAGAGUUUUGGUAUGUGUGUAUUUGUCGAUGUGAAUGUCAAACCUCACGGGACAUAAUUUAAAAACCACACUUGUAGUUUCAUAAGACUACUUUGGCAAAUGUUUGCAAUGACAAGUGAAAUACGUGUUUAAGCUUUGCCAGUAAACAGUUCAGAGCUGCUCAUUGCAUGAAACAAAACAGCAUCCCAUGAAUUAUUGGAUUUCAUUUUGCUGUAUGAAAUUAAGAAACUAUCCACUCCCAUAAUAACUCAAACUAAAAGCGGAUUUACUGCAGUUUGACUGUUUGAAGAAAAAUGGUAAGUGAUGUGAUCGUCAUGAGAUACAAACAACAUCAACCUCAUCUGCAUAUAUGUACUAACUUCCUACAAAAACCAGAAUAGACAAUCUUCUCCAGUGAAAACAGGAAUGGUUGUUCAGCUUCAAACAACUUACACUCUAUUCACUGUUCCCGCAGACAAACGCACAUCCUCCUAUACAGACACUCAGUGUUGAAUAAACAGAACC
RNAcentral lists this long non-coding RNA (1906 nucleotides) under Dicentrarchus labrax (European seabass). Its description in RNAcentral is "lncRNA (ENSDLAG00005028535.1)". The record is from RNAcentral. Lineage: Eukaryota; Metazoa; Chordata; Actinopteri; Moronidae.